CCCAGACUCCUACGGGAGGCAGCAGUGGGGGAUAUUGCACAAUGGGGGGAACCCUGAUGCAGCGACGCCGCGUGGGUGAAGAAGCGCCUCGGCGCGUAAAGCCCUGUCAGCAGGGAAGAAAAUGACGGUACCUGAAGAAGAAGCCCCGGCUAACUACGUGCCAGCAGCCGCGGCAAUACGUAGGGGGCAAGCGUUAUCCGGAUUUACUGGGUGUAGAGGGGGCGCAGACGGCGAUGCAAGCCAGGAGUGAAAGCCCGGGGCCCAACCCCGGGACUGCUCUUGGAACUGCGUGGCUGGAGUGCAGGAGGGGCAGGCGGAAUUCCUGGUGUAGCGGUGAAAUGCGUAGAUAUCAGGAGGAACACCGGUGGCGAAGGCGGCCUGCUGGACUGCAACUGACGUUGAGGCCCGAAAGCGUGGGGAGCAAACAGGAUUAGAUACCCUCGUAC
Molecule: ribosomal RNA, 446 nt
Filed under: uncultured bacterium
Lineage: Bacteria
Description: bacterial SSU rRNA
Rfam family: Bacterial small subunit ribosomal RNA
Source: RNAcentral